AGCGGCGUAGGGAAGCCUGGUAUCCUGCGGGGCUCAUAACCCCGAGGUCGGUGGUUCGAAUCCACCCGCCGCUA
Molecule: non-coding RNA, 74 nt
Organism: Caldivirga sp. JCHS_4
Lineage: Archaea; Thermoproteati; Thermoproteota; Thermoprotei; Thermoproteales; Thermoproteaceae
Source: Rfam